CUCCAGCCUGGGCAACAGAGUGAGAACCUAUCUCUAAAAUAAUAGUAAGUAAAAAUAAUAAAUAAAUGAAGCUCUCUGCCCACGAUCCAAUCUCAGGGUAAGGAAUUGGCACAGCCUGGAUUUGAAGGUGGGUCUCUAUGAACCUGUGCUUCAAUCCAUCCCACUUCAUAAUCGCCUCUCCACAGGCCUCCAUCCAACCACAGCUGCACAGGCAUCAGAGCUUUGGUUCUACAACGUGAGCUGAUACCAAUAGCCCCUGGAGGGAUUGUUAAAACACUGAUUCCAGGGCCCUAGCCAUGGAGUGUCUGAUUCAGUAGGCCUUAGGUAAGGUCUGAAAAUCUGCAUUUCUAACAAGGUCCCAGGUGAUACUGACGCUACUGAUUCAGGGAUCACACUUUGAGAACCGCUGAAUAGACUGCCAUUCAAGCCAAGAUUCCAGCUCAUGUUCAUGGGUCUGCACCUGCAUACAAAUGCCAAGAGGACUGGCCCACCCCCGGGAUCUGUCCUCACCCGCUCCUCACCAAGCACCCGGCUGCAAGUUCCCAGCAGGGCUCGGAAGUCCCGGGGCCUCCUGUGAAGCUGGGACCACCAUGCUGGUCCAGCCUCCUUGGUUGUGGUCGUGGCCGGAAGCAGCCAGACUGCUGGCCCCUUUGAGAGCGGGUGUCUCUGUGAGAGAGUGACUGCUGGGAGGUCUUCAGGGAACUUGGGCGCCGCUGGGACAAUUGGUCGCUGUUUGGGGGAGUGAGGUUGGCAGGCCCUUGGCCCUCGGCACUGAGCCUCUGCCAGGCCCCUGCCAAGCCUGGGGCUGGUUUCCCACUGCCUGCUAGUUUCAGGGCCAUUUGGGGAGGGGGCCCAGGGGAAUUCAUUGCCCCUCUCUUCAGCGUCUUUGCUGUGGUCCAGGAAGCCCGGGCAGUGUCUGCUCUCAGACAGCAGGUCAGCACAGCCUCAGACAUGUUCUGAUGAUGCCCGCUGUGUACCAGGCUAGGGGCGGGAUACUUAGAACCAGCCUCCCAGAUGCCUUAGAGACCUCUCCAAUGGGCUGCCAGGGGCCUCACAGGCCAUGGUAAUGCAGAAGCCCUGGCUAGAUUGAGCCCUUGCAUGCUUGUUAACUCUGGUUGGCCCUAGUCAAGAGCCUUGGCUGGGGAAACAACUGACAAAACAAAGCCUCUACCCUCCUGCAA
Molecule: long non-coding RNA, 1181 nt
Filed under: Homo sapiens (human)
Lineage: Eukaryota; Metazoa; Chordata; Mammalia; Primates; Hominidae
Description: HSALNT0399180
Source: RNAcentral